GAUGAACGCUGGCGGCGUGCCUAAUACAUGCAAGUCGAGCGAACAGACGAGGAGCUUGCUCCUCUGACGCUAGCGGCGGAUGGGUGAGUAAUACGUGGAUAACCUACCUAUAAGACUGGGAUAACUUCGGGAAACCGGAGCUAACACCGGAUAUUAUAUUGAACCGCAUGGUUCAAUAGUGAAAGACGGUUUUGCUGUCACUUAUAGAUGGAUCCGGGUCGCAUUAGCUAGUUGGUAAGGUAACGGCUUACCAAGGCAACGAUGCGUAGCCGAUCUGAGAGGAUGAUCAGCCACACUGGAACUGAGACACGGUCCAGACUCCUACGGGAGGCAGCAGUAGGGAAUCUUGCGCAAUGGGCGAAAGCCUGACGGAGCAACGCCGCGUGAGUGAUGAAGGUCUUCGGAUCGUAAAACUCUGUUAUUAGGGAAGAACAAAUGUGUGAGUAACUAUGCACGUCUUGACGGUACCUAAUCAGAAAGCAACGGCUAACUACGUG
RNAcentral lists this ribosomal RNA (497 nucleotides) under uncultured bacterium. RNAcentral describes it as "partial 16S ribosomal RNA". It matches the Rfam family "Bacterial small subunit ribosomal RNA", at positions 28 to 507 of the family's 1533-position model. The record is from RNAcentral.